RNAcentral lists this transfer RNA (75 nucleotides) under Cordylochernes scorpioides. Its description in RNAcentral is "tRNA-Thr". Lineage: Eukaryota; Metazoa; Arthropoda; Arachnida; Pseudoscorpiones; Chernetidae. The record is from RNAcentral.
GUCCAGGGGGAUAGGAAUCGAACCCACAAUGUUCCGCUUACCGGGCAGAUGCCAUGUCCACUAGGGUACCCUGGA